UCCCUGGUGGUCCAGUGGUUAGGACUCUGCGCUUCCACUGCAGGGGGCACGGGUUCAAUCCCCGGUCAGGGAA
Molecule: transfer RNA, 73 nt
Filed under: Tursiops truncatus (common bottlenose dolphin)
Lineage: Eukaryota; Metazoa; Chordata; Mammalia; Artiodactyla; Delphinidae
Description: tRNA-Gly (TCC) (tRNA-Gly-TCC-13-1)
Rfam family: tRNA
About the family: Transfer RNA (tRNA) molecules are approximately 80 nucleotides in length. Their secondary structure includes four short double-helical elements and three loops (D, anti-codon, and T loops).
Source: Rfam by way of RNAcentral